This 526-nucleotide ribosomal RNA is filed under the name uncultured bacterium. RNAcentral's name for it is "partial 16S ribosomal RNA". It matches the Rfam family "Bacterial small subunit ribosomal RNA", at positions 355 to 874 of the family's 1533-position model. The record is from RNAcentral.
UGGGGAAUUUUGGACAAUGGGGGCAACCCUGAUCCAGCAAUGCCGCGUGUGUGAAGAAGGCCUUCGGGUUGUAAAGCACUUUUGUCCGGAAAGAAAACGCCGUGGUUAAUACCCGUGGCGGAUGACGGUACCGGAAGAAUAAGCACCGGCUAACUACGUGCCAGCAGCCGCGGUAAUACGUAGGGUGCAAGCGUUAAUCGGAAUUACUGGGCGUAAAGCGUGCGCAGGCGGUCCGCUAAGACAGAUGUGAAAUCCCCGGGCUUAACCUGGGAACUGCAUUUGUGACUGGCGGGCUAGAGUAUGGCAGAGGGGGGUAGAAUUCCACGUGUAGCAGUGAAAUGCGUAGAGAUGUGGAGGAAUACCGAUGGCGAAGGCAGCCCCCUGGGCCAAUACUGACGCUCAUGCACGAAAGCGUGGGGAGCAAACAGGAUUAGAUACCCUGGUAGUCCACGCCCUAAACGAUGUCAACUAGUUGUCGGGUCUUCAUUGACUUGGUAACGUAGCUAACGCGUGAAGUUGACCGCCU